UGUUAGCCAUUCCUGGGGAAAAUUUGUCUUGAAAACAAUUUUGAAGUGUUCAAUUCACUUAAUGGCUU
Molecule: transfer RNA, 68 nt
Filed under: Glaphyrina caudata
Lineage: Eukaryota; Metazoa; Mollusca; Gastropoda; Neogastropoda; Fasciolariidae
Description: tRNA-Ser
Source: RNAcentral